RNAcentral lists this ribosomal RNA (478 nucleotides) under uncultured Bacteroidota bacterium. RNAcentral's name for it is "bacterial SSU rRNA". It matches the Rfam family "Bacterial small subunit ribosomal RNA", at positions 355 to 830 of the family's 1533-position model. Lineage: Bacteria; Pseudomonadati; Bacteroidota. The record is from RNAcentral.
UAAGGAAUAUUGGUCAAUGGACGCAAGUCUGAACCAGCCAUGCCGCGUGGAGGAUGAAGGUCCUCUGGAUUGUAAACUUCUUUUAUCUGGGAAGAAAUCCAUUUUUUCUAAAAUGGUUGACGGUACCAGAUGAAUAAGCACCGGCUAACUCCGUGCCAGCAGCCGCGGUAAUACGGAGGGUGCAAGCGUUAUCCGGAUUCACUGGGUUUAAAGGGUGCGUAGGUGGGCAAGUAAGUCAGUGGUGAAAUCUCCGGGCUUAACCCGGAAACUGCCAUUGAUACUAUUUGUCUUGAAUACUGUGGAGGUCAGCGGAAUAUGUCAUGUAGCGGUGAAAUGCUUAGAUAUGACAUAGAACACCAAUUGCGAAGGCAGCUGGCUACACAAAUAUUGACACUGAGGCGCGAAAGCGUGGGGAUCAAACAGGAUUAGAUACCCUGGUAGUCCACGCCCUAAACUAUGGAUACUCGACAUUUGCGAU